CCUACGCGAGGCAGCAGUGAGGAAUAUUGGUCAAUGGGCGCGAGCCUGAACCAGCCAAGUCGCGUGAGGGAAGAAGGCCCUACGGGUUGUAAACCUCUUUUGCCGGGGAGCAACGGGCGCCACGUGUGGCGCCACUGAGAGUACCCGGAGAAAAAGCAUCGGCUAACUCCGUGACAGCAGCCGCGGUAAUACGGAGGAAGCGAGCGUUAACCGGAUUUAUUGGGUUUAAAGGGUGCGUAGGCGGAGCGUUAAGUCAGUGGUCAAAUUGAGGGGCUCAACCCCUUCCCGCCAUUGAAACUGGCGCUCUUGAGUGGAAGAGAAGUAUGCGGAAUGCGUGGUGUAGCGGUGAAAUGCAUAGAUAUCACGCAGAACCCCGAUUGCGAAGGCAGCAUGCCGGCUUCCGACUGACGCUGAAGCACGAAAGCGUGGGGAUCGAACAGGAUUAGAUACCCUUGUAGUC
This 460-nucleotide ribosomal RNA is filed under the name uncultured bacterium. RNAcentral's name for it is "partial 16S ribosomal RNA". It matches the Rfam family "Bacterial small subunit ribosomal RNA", at positions 338 to 795 of the family's 1533-position model. The record is from RNAcentral.